Molecule: ribosomal RNA, 253 nt
Filed under: uncultured bacterium
Lineage: Bacteria
Description: partial 16S ribosomal RNA
Rfam family: Bacterial small subunit ribosomal RNA
Source: RNAcentral
UACGUAGGGUGCAAGCGUUAAUCGGAAUUACUGGGCGUAAAGCGUGCGUAGGCGGUUUGUUAAGUCUGUCGUGAAAGCCCCGGGCUCAACCUGGGAAUGGCGAUGGAUACUGGCGAGCUAGAGUACGGUAGAGGAGAGUGGAAUUCCCGGUGUAGCAGUGAAAUGCGUAGAGAUCGGGAGGAACAUCAGUUGCGAAGGCGGCUCUCUGGACCAGUACUGACGCUGAGGCACGAAAGCGUGGGGAGCAAACAGG